GCCCAGGUGGUGAAAUUGGUAGACACGCCACUUUGAGGGGGUGGUGCUCGCAAGGGCAUGUCAGUUCGAGUCUGAUCCUGGGCA
Molecule: transfer RNA, 84 nt
Filed under: Bacteroidota bacterium
Lineage: Bacteria; Pseudomonadati; Bacteroidota
Description: tRNA-Leu
Rfam family: tRNA
About the family: Transfer RNA (tRNA) molecules are approximately 80 nucleotides in length.
Source: RNAcentral